CUGGGGCUAAGUCGUAACAAGGUAGCCGUACCGGAAGGUGUGGCUGGAAUACCUCCUUU
RNAcentral lists this ribosomal RNA (59 nucleotides) under Bacteroidota bacterium. RNAcentral describes it as "partial 16S ribosomal RNA". It matches the Rfam family "Bacterial small subunit ribosomal RNA", at positions 1475 to 1533 of the family's 1533-position model. Lineage: Bacteria; Pseudomonadati; Bacteroidota. The record is from RNAcentral.